GNACGGCGAGUGANAGGAAGAGCUCAAAGUUGGAACCUGUUUGGCCUAGCUAAACCGGAUUGUAGACUGUAGAAGUGUUUUCCAGGCAAGCCGAGUAAAUAAGUCCUUUGGAACAGGGCAUCAUAGAGGGUGAGAAUCCCGUCUUUGGCUUGAGCAUUUGCCUUUUGUGAUACGCUUUCAAAGAGUCAGGUUGUUUGGGAAUGCAGCCUAAAUUGGGUGGUAAAUCUCACCUAAAGCUAAAUAUUGGCGAGAAACCGAUAGCGAACAAGUACCGUGAGGGAAAGAUGAAAAGAACUUUGAAAAGAGAGUUAAACAGUAUGUGAAAUUGUUAAAAGGGAACCGUUUGGAGCCAGACUGGCUUGUCUGUAAUCAAUCUAGGCUUCGGCCUGGAUGCACUUGCAGGCUAUGCCUGCCAACGACAAUUUGACUUGAGGGAAAAAACUAGGGGAAAUGUGGCCCACUUGUGGGUGUUAUAGUCCCUUAGAAAAUACCUUGGGUUGGAUUGAGGAACGCAGCGAAUGCUUAUUGGCGAGUUUUCCAGGAAGGUUUUCUGAGGUACUACGGUAUCAAGGUUGAUCUUUUUGGUUAUACUUCUAUUCGCUUAGGUUGUUGGCUUAAUGACUCUAAAUGACCCGUCUUGNACNNCNGGACC
Molecule: ribosomal RNA, 652 nt
Filed under: Rhizopus arrhizus
Lineage: Eukaryota; Fungi; Mucoromycota; Mucoromycetes; Mucorales; Rhizopodaceae
Description: Rhizopus oryzae partial large subunit ribosomal RNA
Rfam family: Eukaryotic large subunit ribosomal RNA
Source: RNAcentral